This 3434-nucleotide long non-coding RNA is filed under the name Sus scrofa (pig). RNAcentral's name for it is "lncRNA (ENSSSCG00035049983.1)". The record is from RNAcentral. Lineage: Eukaryota; Metazoa; Chordata; Mammalia; Artiodactyla; Suidae.
ACACAGAUUACUAGCGCCUCUGGAAGUAGGGCAAGCUCGUUUAUUUCCUCUCCAACAUAGCCUCGGGCCAUCAGAGCGUCUCAUGUCAGGGUCCCUGCCGAGCAAGCUGCAGAAUGAAAACACUGCGAAUAAGAAAGGUCACUGCAUCCGCUCUGCACAUUUACUUCUCACCUGAAAUCUCUGCUUCACUAGCAACGACCUGGCUCAGGCUGUGAACACUGCCUGAGUCGAUGUUCCAGCAGGAGGGAGAAGAAAUCUAUGACUACUGCGCAUAUGCGUGUGUACUUACAGAUUAUUGCCUCAGGUCCGUGGUCCAGCGUUGUGACAAGCUGUCCAUCUGAGGUUCAUGCUUCCUUCAAUUCAAUGCUGCAAGGUACAAGCUGACUGAAAGAAGACCAGCAAUUGGUUGAUUAAUACCAUUGAAGAGGCGUGUCUUCUCCUCCCACAAUAUUAAGGAGCUAUUGUGCAGGUUAUCCUAAUGUUUGACUAGCCCUUCCUGUGUAUCUAAGGCUGAAUCCAACAGCCACUUUUGCCUCACCAGCUAUUCACUGUUUAUAACCCCAGCACUUGAAGUACCAGAGGGUUCAGAGGGAGUCAGUUAUGAAUCAAGGAGAAAAGCAUGGUUGGAAUGAAAAGCUCAGCGGCUGAUGGUCUCCGUUCCUUCGAAAGCCAAGUUGAGGAUGCUGAAAUCCCCUUAUUGUCUUUGGUACCUCAGUGUUCCUAUUUGUGAAAGGCUGAUAAAGAUGCCAGGGAUUCUGGAAAAAGAAAUGGAAUGCAUAUCGACUGGCCACCCAGUAAAACAGAUUUCAGAUGCAAAUAGAAACAAAAAGCUGGGGGAAGUAUGAAGAGUUUUAAGGAUAAAAGAAGAAAAAAAACCUGAAAAGAUAAUCCUUUUAAGAAGCUGAUUUUUUCUUAGUCAUUCCCAAAGUAAGAGGGCCAGGGUAAUACUGCCAAUGCUUAACUCCAAAAUAGAUAAAAGGUUAAAAAAAAAAAAAGGCUGCUCUAUUGAGGAAAAAAGUCCUGAAAUAACCUAUUACUGGUGUUCAGAAGUCAACUUGUCCAUGAAGACAAGGUCAUCAUUCAUCUUUAUAAAAAGAGACACUGAACAAAGACAAAUAAGUUAAAGCAUUUACUUUUACAUAACACCAGGACAGGUAAAAAAAAAAAAAAAAUAGCUAUAAUUCACAGGCCUUGAGCAUGACAGAGAAAUUUAAAGCUUUAGGAGACGUCCUAUGAAAUGCUACACUUCUGGUUUCAACAAAUGCUUGGAGACAUCAUGAAAGUCCUUUUCAUAUGGACAGAAAAUUUUGUUCACCAUUUCUUUUAAAUUCUUUAAAAACCUUUCUUUCUUUCUUUCUUUCUUUUUUUCAAAAUCCCCUUCAGAUUACUCUGUGUCUUGACCUAAAAUCAGAGUCAAAUGAUUCACAGCUUUAGGAGCUUACAUCUAAUUUUACUACCUUUGGCCUUAGUAUUUAUCAACUUCAACACAGAACAAUGCAUUACUCUAACAAUAGUAGACCUUACUGAUUCUGUGAGCUCUCCAUUUGGCUUUUGAAUAUAAUAGCCUUUGUAUGGUUCUUUUAAAUUGACCUAUACAUACACAGAGGCACAAAUUCCUCCAAAAUGAAUAAUAGAAAGAAAAAUUAAUGCAUUCAUGCAAUGAAAACUUGACAUAAAUAUAUCCCUAAUUAUGGUGGUAAAUGCAUAGGAGACUAGGGCCAUAGAUUAACCUGUAGUAAGAGUAAGAUUUCUGCAGAAUCUCCUGUUUAUCAAAAAAAUUAUGGAAAUUUGAAUUGUACAUCAUGCUAUAUACAAGUUUCUUUUCAUAUUAUAAUGAUAUUUUCCUCCCAAAUUUCCUAGUUGGAUGGCAUCCAUCACCAUAGCAAAACAGAAAGAAAGCCCACAAGACUUUUGAUUAAAUCUUCUGGCUAUUUUCAGGCCAAGUGUUUUGUUUUCUCUUUUGAAUUAUUCAAAUCUCCCUGCCCAGUCAUGCCCUACACUUUGCAAAAGUGUAAUACUAAGAAAUCUUAUAAUUUUUUAUUACUUGCAGAUUUUUCUGGGGCAGGAAUAUCAUUUAAAAUGUUCCCUAAGGAGAAACCAAGUGAGAGGGGAAUUUUCCUCCGAAUUUUCAAUUGUAGUUUAUAGUGAAUGGGAAAAUCACUUCUCACUUAGAUCUACAUGGCUAUUUGUGAGCAGAAAAUAGUUUUAAUUAUUCUGCCUAUGCAACCAAGAUUUUCUGGGACAAUCCCAAUUUCUUUCUUUUCAAUAAAUGUGAAUUUCCAUUACACUUGCAGGAAAUUGUCCAACACACACACUCACAUAGGUGAUUAAAGCCCAUUGUAGAAAGCUGUUCUCUGCACCCAUGUGGAUAUUGGUAAACAACUGGAAACAAGUUAAAUGCUCUUCAGCAGGGGGAAUAGUUUAAGAAAUUUCUGUACAUGCAGGUACUAUAACACCAAGCAGAAUCAGGUAGAUCUCCAUGUACUAGUCUGGGAAAAUAGUCAAGAUACAUUGUUUGUUGAAAAAUAUCAAGUUAUAGAACAGAUGUUUAGUAUACUCCCAUUUGUCUCACACUUUGAAAAAUUCUACCAUAUAUAUUUGUAAAGGGUUAGAAAAUCUCUGGCAGGACAGAUCAGAAACAAACCCCCAAAUCACCUCUGUUGUUGGGAGGCAGGUUUAGGGAUAAAUGGAGGUUUACUUGUAAGUCGUAUUUCCACAUCAUCUCUGUGAACUAAACCCUCCCUGAUUCCUCCCAAUUCUCACUGCUUCCCACUAUGUUGGAGAUCCUGUCAUGUCAUAACUUACACAGCAGUGGCCACAAGAUGUGGGUUUGCAUGAGACUGGCAUGAGAUGGUUGGAAAAAUAAAGACGGUGGGAGUUUCCACCAUGGUACAGUGGGCUAAGGAUCACUGUGGCUGUGUGGGUUCUAUCCCCCCACCUGGUGCAGUAGGUUAAAUGAUCUGGCAUUGCUGCAACUGCAGCGUAAGUCAUAGCUGGGGCAUGGCCUGGGAACUUCCAUAUGCUGUGGGUGUAGCAAAAAAAAGAAAGAAAAGAAAAGAAGGUGGAGGCCACAGAACUUAAUUAGCUACGAGGUUGACUGUUGAGGGCUACAGCUAUGGGUCAGGGGUGGUGUCUAAGAGAGAUGAGGUAUUCUCAACAAUGUCAAGAAAAGUCCUAAUCAGGAGUUCCUGUCGUGACUCAGCCAUUAACGAAUCUGACUAGCAUCCAUGAGGAUGCAGGUUCAAUCCCUGGCCUUGCUCAGUGGGUUAAGGAUCCGGUGUUGCCGUGAGCUGUGGCGUAGGUCGCAGACGCUGCUCAGAUCCUGUGUUGCUGUGGUUGUGGUGUAGGCCGGCAGCUUUAGCUCCAAUUUGACCCCUAGCCUGGGGAACCUCCAUGUGCCAUGGAUGCGGCCCUAAAGAGCAAAAAAAAAAAAA